GGGAGGGGUGGAGAGAGAGAGACAGAAUCCGAAGCAGGCUCCAGGCUCUGAGCUGUCAGCACAGAGCCUGAUGUGGGGCUUGAACUCACAGACUGUGAGCUCAUGACCUGAGCCAAAGUCAGAUGCUUAACCCACUGAGCCACCCAGGCACCCCUCAAAUUUGCUCUUUAAAGCGGAUAUUCAGGUUCCAAAUGUGUUUCCUCUUCCUUGUCAACACUUGGCAUUUUAUUGCCCUCAUUUGUGUAAUUUUGUUAUCUUUCAGACAGGAAGGAUGAUUCAACUGAAAAUUUGUUCACAGUAUACCUCCCAUUUUCUUUUCACAACCAGCAGCCCAGGCUACCUAGUAGAUUGUACGAGAGUGAUGCCCUUCCAGGCUGAGUUCUGGGGUGGCUAGGAGCCCUGGCUGGUUGCCUCCUGAUGCUUUCAUUUUCUUCUUGGCGUACAGCUAGAGUGGAGCCGGGUCUGACAGUGUGCCCUGGAUAGAGAGUGGACUCGGGUACUCACUACUCACCUGUGUGAUGCAGAGGCUCUAUUUGUCCAUCAAGGGCAAGGAGUGUCUAUGAAGCUGUGAGAGAAGUAUGUCCCAAGUGUCCAUGGAGCAGAUGAUAGAACUGAAGCUCAAGGGAGAGUCUGCUCAUGUAGCAUUAGAGCUUAGAGUAUAAAACGUGCUGCCGCCUAGGUUAGUGCUCUACUAUACCAGCCUUCACUUGUAUGCUAUUCAUAGAUAUUAACACAUUUUUUUUGUACAUUUUGGUUACUAUUUUUGUAUUUUAAAUACAUAAACAUGUUGAUUCACUCAAAAAAGAUAUGGUUAGGAAACAAGGAAGCAGUAGGUAUAAUGACAGUUGCUUGUGAACACCAGAUUAUUCCAAGAUGAGGGAGUGCCUAGAGAAGAGUCAGUGUCUGGAAUGAGUAAGGAAAGAUAGAUGAAGGAAGAGAGCCAUUUGCUUUCUCAUAAAUGACAGCUGUUUGUCUCAGCAAGCAAGAAUAGAGAUUACAAAGCCAAACUAAAGCAAUAUAGGGACUUAUGAACUGCUUAAUACUGGCAUACUAAAGUAUUUUUGCAUCCAGUACAGGAACUGUAAAAAGUUCCUAUAUAUAGUCUAUAAAUUAAGUUUUACCGUAUCAGUAAUGUAUUCUAAAUGCAUAAUACACUUGGGUUUUGUGCUAACCAGCCUAUUGUUUGCUCUUAAGCUUGUAUUUUGCCAGUUAGUAAAACAAAACAAAACAAAAAAAAAUUAAGACGCUUCAAACUAUUUAAAACUUUUUAUGAACUAUACCCAAAUUUAAGCUUUGCUGUACCCGACUACAAUAGGAGCAACAGGAGCUAACAUGAUUAUACAUAAUAUAAGGAUUAUUGCAGUUUAUUUAACACUAAAAGUUUUCAUGCUUUGCAUACAAUAAAGUAUAUUACAAUGA
Long non-coding RNA from Acinonyx jubatus (cheetah), 1419 nucleotides. RefSeq lists it as uncharacterized. The record is from RefSeq and is a predicted model, not a curated record. The transcript has 2 exons. Lineage: Eukaryota; Metazoa; Chordata; Mammalia; Carnivora; Felidae.